This 482-nucleotide ribosomal RNA is filed under the name uncultured bacterium. Its description in RNAcentral is "partial 16S ribosomal RNA". It matches the Rfam family "Bacterial small subunit ribosomal RNA", at positions 28 to 523 of the family's 1533-position model. The record is from RNAcentral.
GACGAACGCUGGCGGCGUGCUUAACACAUGCAAGUCGAACGAGGCCCCUCCUUCGGGAGGGUGUCCUAGUGGCGAACGGGUGAGUAACACGUGGGCAACCUGCCCCCGGCUCUGGGAUAACCCCAAGAAAUUGGGGCUAAUACCGGAUAUGACCGCUGACCGCAUGGUCGGUGGUGGAAAGUUUUUUCGGCUGGGGAUGGGCCCGCGGCCUAGCAGCUUGUUGGUGGGGUAGUGGCCUACCAAGGCGACGACGGGUAGCCGGCCUGAGAGGGGGACCGGCCACACUGGGACUGAGACACGGCCCAGACUCCUACGGGAGGCUGCAGUGGGGAAUAUUGCGCAAUGGGCGGAAGCCUGGCGCAGCGACGCCGCGUGGGGGAUGACGGCCUUCGGGUUGUAAACCUCUUUCAGCAGGGACGAAGCGAAAGUGACGGUACCUGCAGAAGAAGCACCGGCCAACUACGUGCCAGCCGCCGCGGUAA